CCCACCUAUCUUCCCAAACCCCUCUCAUAACUCCUCAUCUCACAUGCUAGAUCUCCAUCCAACUCCUCCUCUAAUGCCCUCUCCUUCCAACCCCUCUCUGGCAAACCCCUCUCUACGAACCCCUCCUCCGAACUCCUCUACGUCAAGACCGCGGGCAAAAUUUCCUCACCUUAUUCCUUCAUCUCUUCAUUAAAUAGCAAAUGCCCUAAUCUCUUCGCCUCCGUCGCCUCAUUCACGCUUCCUUCACACUGCCAAAUCUCUUUGACCCCACCUUCAUCAAGCGGCAGAUCCCGGCGCUGAGGCGAUCGACCAUGGCAGAUCUACCCAUCUCUUUGCCUCCUUCGCCCCCGACACUGAGGUGACCCCUUGUACUGGCACGACUGCCUCCCGUAUUCAGUUGCGACUACCACUGGUGUCUUCUGUUCCUGACUAUAUACUACAAGAUGAAGUUCAGGCUCAGGACUUGUUGUCUCUAGUGUAGGCGGAAGAAAAUAACACAGUAGAGAAUUAUAGCAACCCUGAAGCACCACAACAACUUCCAGUUUUGGAUGAACGAUUAGGUGAAUCUUUUGCUGAAGAGACUAUGCCAUAUCCAAUUGCCUUGGAGACCACAAGAGAUCCACCUCUUGCAACCGCUGAAGAACCUGUUGGAGAGCCAACUAAGCGCACAUAUGCCUCCAUUGUAUGCAAAAGUUAUUUCUCUGUCAUAUUUUCUUACAGGUUAUUCCUUAGGAGACUGAUGUUAUUUGUGUCCCAACUUCGGGCUAAAGGCCAAUCUAGUCCAUCUAUGCAUCCAACACUUGUAAUAAAGACAUCUCUGGUGGUUUCAGAACAGACCCAUUCCUUUUCCCAACAUUCCCAUCCUGCUAUUUUUCCUGAGAAUUCUGGCUCUAAGGCAAUUGAGGAGGCUCUAGUAGUUGAGGAUGAAGUUGAUUCCAGAUAUGUUUAUGUUGGAAAUCUUCCUUCAUCUAUCUCGACUUCAGAUCUUGAGCAAGUCUUUAAGAAUUUUGGUAAAUUGAGACCAGAUGGUGUUUUUAUUAGAAGCCGGAAGGAGUCUGAUGUUUUUUAUGCUUUCAUUGAAUAUUAAGAUGCCAUUGGUGUACAAAAUGCACUUAAGUUAAAUGGGAGAUUGAUUCAUGUCGAGGGGAGAAGAGCUAAUAGCGGUGUAUCACGAGGAAAUACACAGUGGUAGGUGUUUUGUCCCAGUCUCAAGCCGACAAUCCUUUUUGAUCGGUAUAUCUAGUAGAAGUAAGCAUGCAGAUCGUUGUCUUCGAGGUCGGCUAGCUAUUUUGUGCAUUUUUGUUUUAAAUUUGAAUGUCACUAUCCACUUUGAAAUAAAACUAUUUAGUCUUUGUGUAUAGUUGAAUUCUCCUGUAAAUACUAAUACUUUGUAGUUGAAUUCUAUUGAUUUGGUAUGAGUUUAAAAUCUUUA
Molecule: RNA transcript, 1432 nt
Organism: Zingiber officinale
Lineage: Eukaryota; Viridiplantae; Streptophyta; Magnoliopsida; Zingiberales; Zingiberaceae
Exons: 6
Source: RefSeq, a predicted model, not a curated record